This is a long non-coding RNA of Ictalurus punctatus (channel catfish), 1859 nucleotides long. Lineage: Eukaryota; Metazoa; Chordata; Actinopteri; Siluriformes; Ictaluridae. The record is from Ensembl.
UGCAUUUUAGAUAUCCCAGAAGGAAAUUCACAAUAAUGUAUGUAUAUACUGUAUAUAAAUACAGAUCAGUUAUUUUAUUUAUUGAAAGAAUACAUUUUACAGUUUUGAAAUGGAAAAAGGUCUCUAUAUUCAACUCUAUAUAUGCUGCAGAACAUUCUACUCCUCCUUUCUACACUGACCCUUCUAGCGCACAGAUUAAAAUCAUAAGAUUAGUCAAAAGAUUCUACAUCAUACUUAAAAUGAACAAAAGCAGAGUUCACAAAGACUGGUUUCAGAAUGGUAAAUGGUCUCAUUCAUCCAUUCACACACAAACACUAAUGGUAGCAGAGUUGCCACGCAAGGCGCUAAACCUGCCAUCGAGAGCAACUUGGGGUUCAGUGUCUUGUCCAAGGCCACUUUGGCAUGUGGAGUCAUGUGGGCCGGGAAUCAAACUACCAACCUUACGAUUAGUGGACAACCCGCUCUACCACCUGAGUCACAUCUGGCCGUUAGAAUAGUUAGGUUUAUUAGCAGUCAAGCAAGACAGCAAACAAACCAACUGAUACCAGGAGAACAAAUGCCCUGAACAUGCAACUUGCACCAAGGUUCCACUGGUUACAAAUAUCCUUAUAUACAUUUCAUGCAUGUUCCUUUAACCAAUCACACAUUUCCCCUUUUGUACAUCACAGGUGUCUCCACACUUAUCCUCGUUACACAAGUUCCCAUGCACUGAGUGAAUUCGCAUGUCCCAUUUUAGCUGCUUUGCUGUAUGAGGCUCAAGGGGAAUUUUUUUGGCUAGAUGGUUAUACAUUUGCAGAACAAUAAUAUACAUGUUUGUGAUGCCUUGGCCUUUUGAAACUCACCCAUACAUUGCUGUAUAACAGUCUCUGAAUUGAGACUUCUCAUUUCUUGUUUGAGCUGUACAUUCCAUAUGAAGACACAAUUCCUGUUUUUUCUGUUCUCUCCAAUUCUUAGUUUUAGAUCAUGUUCUUCAAUAAACAAAAACCUCUCUCCCUUCAUUAGGAUCACUCAAUGGCCUUGGGAUGUUAAUAAAAGACUACAUGCCCUGUGAGGUGUUCUGCAAAACCUUAUACUGUUUUAUAAAAUAAAAAAAAAAAUAAAAAAAACUGUGCCUGUGUGUAAUAUCAUUAUUAGGGCAGCUGUCAUGCAGGUCAUGCAUGUCAUCUCCUUCUUGCCCUUUCCUACACAUCCAUUAGAUAUUUAGUCUUACUUUACAUUUAUCUGUUCUUUCAGGCUUGACUUUUCACAACAUUUUAGAUCUUUAUCUCAAAUCCUUACACUUUCCACAUCAUUACAUUGAGGAGUCUAUAACUUGCCCCAUUACCCAUUUCCUCUUUAUUUACUCUUGAGACUUCUACCAUGGGUGAGUGAACAUUCUAACAUUAUCUGCUCUAUACUGUGUACCUAUGGGCCCCUAUGUUUACUCUGUUUUAUGGUCGGAUGAAUGGUUUUAACCGUCCCACUGUGUUGUGUUUUUAUGGUCAAACUCAACCAACCCUGAGUUUCCCUACAGUGCAACUGCACUUGAAUCUUUGUUCAAAUCCAUCCUUUAUUGUUGCCUGACAACAUAUGAAACUAACAUUCAUCUUUCAAUAAAAGCUGAAUCCCAAAAAUAAAAAAGGGGGGAAAAAAUCUAUUGUAUAACCUGUAUUUCCGUCGGAGGGCAGACAGUCUGCGCUUGAUUUGCCAGAUAAAGAACCUUCUUGUGGAAACUGUAGGAGAAUUGACUGUAACUGCUCUUGGGAGAGUCUAAAGUGGCUGGGUGAGCAGCUUUCUAAAAAAGCAGAGCAAAAAAACUUCAGUAAUUCAAAUUGUUGAUGCAAGACUGAAAACUGUAAAAUGAAAGCUCAUUAAAAGUU